GAGUUUGAUCCUGGCUCAGGAUGAACGCUAGCGGCAGGCCUAACACAUGCAAGUCGAGGGGUAACGAUGAGUGCUUGCACUCAGGCGACGACCGGCGCACGGGUGAGUAACGCGUAUGCAACCUGCCUUCUACUAGAGAAUAGCCCCCGGAAACGGGGAUUAAUACUCCAUAGUAUUGUUUUCACAAAAGUUUAAACAAUUAAAGCUUCGGCGGUAGAAGAUGGGCAUGCGUCCUAUUAGUUAGUUGGUAAGGUAACGGCUUACCAAGACAUCGAUAGGUAGGGGGCCUGAGAGGGUGGUCCCCCACACUGGUACUGAGACACGGACCAGACUCCUACGGGAGGCAGCAGUGAGGAAUAUUGGUCAAUGGAGGCAACUCUGAACCAGCCAUGCCGCGUGCAGGAAGAAUGCCCUAUGGGUUGUAAACUGCUUUUAUUUAGGAAGAAUCCCCGCUACGUGUAGUGGGUUGACGGUACUAAACGAAUAAGGACCGGCUAACUCCGUGCCAGCAGCCGCGGUAAUACGGAGGGUCCAAGCGUUAUCCGGAAUCAUUGGGUUUAAAGGGUCCGCAGGCGGACUAGUAAGUCAGUGGUGAAAUCUCUCAGCUCAACUGGGAAACUGCCAUUGAUACUGUUAGUCUUGAAUUCGGUCGAAGUGGGCGGAAUGUGUCAUGUAGCGGUGAAAUGCAUAGAUAUGACACAGAACACCGAUAGCGAAGGCAGCUCACUAGGCCUGAAUUGACGCUCAGGGACGAAAGCGUGGGGAGCGAACAGGAUUAGAUACCCUGGUAGUCCACGCCGUAAACGAUGAUUACUCGAUAUCAGCGAUAUACAGUUGGUGUCUAAGCGAAAGUGAUAAGUAAUCCACCUGGGGAGUACGAUCGCAAGGUUGAAACUCAAAGGAAUUGACGGGGGCCCGCACAAGCGGAGGAGCAUGUGGUUUAAUUCGAUGAUACGCGAGGAACCUUACCAAGGCUUAAAUG
RNAcentral lists this ribosomal RNA (982 nucleotides) under uncultured Bacteroidota bacterium. RNAcentral's name for it is "bacterial SSU rRNA". It matches the Rfam family "Bacterial small subunit ribosomal RNA", at positions 9 to 987 of the family's 1533-position model. The record is from RNAcentral. Lineage: Bacteria; Pseudomonadati; Bacteroidota.